UGAGGAAUAUUGGUCAAUGGGCGGAAGCCUGAACCAGCCAAGUAGCGUGAGGGAUGACUGCCCUAUGGGUUGUAAACCUCUUUUAUAAGGGAAUAAAAUACGGGACGUGUCCUGUUUUGCAUGUACCUUAUGAAUAAGGACCGGCUAAUUCCGUGCCAGCAGCCGCGGUAAUACGGAAGGUCCAGGCGUUAUCCGGAUUUAUUGGGUUUAAAGGGAGCGUAGGCCGCCCCUUAAGCGUGUUGUGAAAUGCCGCGGCUCAACCGUGGCACUGCAGCGCGAACUGGGGGGCUUGAGUGCACGCAACGCAGGCGGAAUUCGUGGUGUAGCGGUGAAAUGCUUAGAUAUCACGAAGAACUCCGAUUGCGAAGGCAGCUUGCGGGAGUGCGACUGACGCUGAAGCUCGAAGGUGCGGGUAUCGAACAGGAUUAGAUACCCUGGUAGU
This 442-nucleotide ribosomal RNA is filed under the name uncultured Prevotella sp. RNAcentral's name for it is "bacterial SSU rRNA". It matches the Rfam family "Bacterial small subunit ribosomal RNA", at positions 355 to 794 of the family's 1533-position model. Lineage: Bacteria; Pseudomonadati; Bacteroidota; Bacteroidia; Bacteroidales; Prevotellaceae. The record is from RNAcentral.